GGCCAUUAUAAAAAAAUUUAGAGAUGAAGAAAAUCCCAGAAGCUCUAAAGGAAAGCUGGAAAUGGAGAGAUUAUCAUAAAAGACCUCAGGGAAAUAACACAUUAUUAAAGACAGAAAAAUAACUGUGCUCUACCUGCUUAUGAAUUUGAUCCCUAUUUCUAAUAUAAAUCCCUCGGCAUAUUUCCCUUAUAAACAAUUCAGAUAUCUGAAGAGUUUAUCAAGGCCAGGUUUAUUAACUAUGAUACAUUUGAAACAGGACAUUAAGACUCCCAGAAGACUUUUCUCCCUCAGGUUUUCCAGGCAAAAUUAAUGGUUGCUGACAGCUCUGCAGCAAGUACUAGUUAAAACAAUGCAAGGAUAGUGGGGACCUUAUCAUCUACUAAUCUAGGUGGAAAUGUUACUUUGGGUUGUCUGAAAGGCAAAGCUAGAUACAAUUAACUACCAGUGAUAGGUAUUCAACUCAAAAAGAACUAAGGUCAAGCCUUACUUCCUUUUUUGUUUUUCCUACCCAGAGGUAGCAGAACUCUUGUUAUUCAUCCAAGAAUACUGUGUAGCUCUUAUGAUUCCCACUGAAAAAUAUUCAAAUUAUACAAAAGCAAUCCAUUUCAUUAACUGACCAGUUCUAAAAAUUAAAUAAGAAUAACUAUUACCAAACUUUGUGUUUUAUUAAUUUGGCAUUACAAAGAAUAGUUUUUAUCAUGUGUUCAUAAUCCAACUGUAAGACUUAAAAGUUUGGCCGGACGCGGUAGCUCAUGCCUGUAAUCCCAGCACUUCCAGCGGCCGAGGCUGGCGGACAGUGAGGUCAAGAGAUCGAGACCAUCCUGGCUAACAUGGUGAAACCCCGUCUCUAC
This 851-nucleotide long non-coding RNA is filed under the name Homo sapiens (human). RNAcentral describes it as "HSALNT0126889". The record is from RNAcentral. Lineage: Eukaryota; Metazoa; Chordata; Mammalia; Primates; Hominidae.